AGUCGUUGAAAGCACAAUUGUUCGGAAAAUGGAGGAGAAAGGAAGAGAAGAAGCGACCCCAAAAUCUUAGGGGAGACUUGGAAAAACAAAAAGGUGACAAAAGAAGAAGCCCGGAAUUGGGAACUUUUUGAGAAUGAACCGAGGUUGGUGGAGGAAUAAAAAGAACUUCAAAUAACGGUCAAGUUAAAAGAAAAAAAAAAAUGCAAUACCAACUGCUCACGGGGAGGCAAUGCUAGAAAUGCAAAGUUCCUCUUUUGGUCCAUCCUCUGUGACAAAACAAAACAAAAACAAAAUGUCUUCCUCCAAGAAAUUGUGAAGGACUAGGAUUGCAGAAAGAAGAUCAGAAAAUGCGUCUUCACUUUAAAUGAGAUCCACUCUCCAGGACCAGAUUAAUGGUGAUGGGGAAGACUUUUUAUCUGAUGUGCUGGAGAACGACUGAGGCAAAAGGUGAAGCAAAUUGGAUAACUUAAUGGAUAACUUGCAUAAGAAGGUCACAAAACGGAAUCACGUGACACCGGGACACUGCCGCCAUCAUAAAUAUGAGUCAGUUGCCAGACAUCCAAAUUUUGAUCACAUGACCACGGGGGAUGCUGCAACGGUC
This is a long non-coding RNA of Crotalus tigris (Tiger rattlesnake), 601 nucleotides long. RefSeq lists it as uncharacterized. NCBI's taxonomy places the organism in Eukaryota, Metazoa, Chordata, Lepidosauria, Squamata, Viperidae. The record is from RefSeq and is a predicted model, not a curated record. The transcript is spliced from 3 exons.